AAAAAGAAUAGAGAAUCAUGUUACGUUGUCCAAUUAUACCUUGAUUAACCCCUGUUGCGGAUUGUGAGUUUAAAAUAUUUCAUAGGUUUUGAAAAAUCAAAUCUAGGAUUUACACUUAAACUUCACCGUCCAUGGAAAGAAGAAGCAUGAAUAUUUGGGUUGUUUUGGAAGGUGGAUUUUGUGUAAGGGUAGAAUUGUCUGACUCGUAGGAAAUUUUUGGAUCGGUAGUAUAGGUGAGUUGAAUACGUUUUUCCCUCUCCCUUGAUCCAAAGACCCCCUCCCAAAAUGAAAACUCUUUACGACAUUCCACUUCUCUUCGACCCUAAAACAUUUUCAUGUCUUAAAGGGUCCUCCUCCCUCCCCCCCUCUCUCUCUGUCUGCAACCAAACAACUCUUUCAGAAAACAUCCAAAAAAAAAAAUGGCAAUUGAUUAGUUUAUCUAUCAAAGCCUGGAGGUUCAGAAGGGUUUGUUGGUGAUGCUGAUAAUGGGGGAGUUCAGGGUACAUUUUGGGUAGAGCUGAGUAUAAUUUCAGAAGGUGAUGGGUUCGAGUAGUAGCAAAAAUGUUGUCGGAUCUUCAUCUUCAUUCCCGUCCUCAACCAACGGUCGUCGAAAGAAUCAAUUGAUUGCAACUACGGUUUCCAAGUGUUCAUGUCUCGGUGGUCUAUCAUCUGGAUCUUAUGAAACUGAUGCUAGUGAAGAUGAGGUUUCUAAUGAGCGCAACAAGGCAAGUAGGCGACUGAGUGGUGAAACCCUAAGUGUAGAGCAAAAUAGAGCAGAAUCAAUCCAAGUGAAGCGUGGAAAGGUUAAAGUUUUAGAAGAUUCUAGUGAAGUACCUUCAAUAUCUAUUGAAAGUGAGCUUGAUGACGAGUGGGGCCAAGUUAAUGAUGUUGCACGAACUUCUUCUGUAGCUUCUAUAGCUGAUGGCAGCUCUUCUCAAGUUGCUUCAAGUCGUUCACGUUCGCGCUUUAGUUUCUUUCCUGGUAAUAUAAGUUUCAGGCUGAGUAGAGCAGCCAGCUUAGGGUCAUCAAGGGCUUAUUCUCUUUUCCCUAAUGGUUUCACGGGUUCAAACGCUGAAGAAGGUUUUCCUGUACAUACUGAUUCCACCAUUAGUUCGAUUAACAGAAAUGAAGUCCAUCAAGAGACCCAAUUGCUUCCUGAAUGCAGUAUUAGUAGAUUACCUGCUGCGCAGGUUGACAGUGUAUUACAAGUAGAUUCUUUGGUUCCAAGGCUUCCCGUUCAUUUACAGGAUGUUGAAAUCAUUUCCGCUCGAGAUAUGGCUCGAAAUAAUGAGAAUACUGGGUCUGGUGUAAGUGGGAAUCUGUUGAGGAAUAUUACAGAUGUAGAAAGCAUGGAAUCAAGACGUCCGGAUAGACGGAUUAGAUCACGAGAACCUGUUGAGAGGAGUGUUCGGUUUAGCCGAACCCUGAGUGUUGGCAGACUGCGAGACAGGGUUCUUCGAAGAUCUUCAUUUUCGGAUGCAUUGUUUGGUCGGCUUCAAGAAGACAGAGUUGUUAGAGAUUCUAGUCAAGAUAACGGAGCACAAGCCUGGGCUGGCAUUACAAGACCCUUGGAUUCUAAUGGGACUGCUGAACAGACACAAGCUUCAUCUAGUUAUCCUCCUAGUGAAUUGAACUCUAUCUACAACAGUCAAGGUUAUGAUGUCGACGCCUCACGAACCAGAGAAGCUAGGUAUCACGAAAUAAUGGAGCGUAGAACAGAUUUUCUGGAGAGGAGAAGAAGAAUUAGAUCUCAGGUCCGCGCACUUCAGAGGUUGGGUAGUCGCUUCGAGAACUUGUCUGGGCAUGAAAGAUCAUGUAUAUUGUCUGGCCAGCAUAGAACUGGCCUUUGCACAUGCCGAACGAUUAACAGGACCAACACCAACCCAGAUGAUGACACAAGUGCUAGAGCUAGCAUAUCUAGAAUAGUUAUGUUAGCAGAAGCUUUAUUUGAGGUUCUGGAUGAAAUCCACCAGCAAUCUGUGGUUUUAUCCUCUCGGCCCUCUGUAUCUUCAAUUGGAUCUGUCCCAGCACCAAAAGAGGUGGUGGAAUCUAUGCCUGUAAAGAUAUAUGCGAAGUCACAGAAACAACAGAAUGACGAUGCUGCACACAGCGUCAUAACCUUUUCAUUCCAAAUUUUGCCUUCGGCGGCAGAUGUUACAUAUGCCUUGUAGAGUAUGAGGAAGGAGAUUGCAUGCGAAUUUUGCCUUGUCAUCAUGAAUUCCACCAGACAUGUGUAGACAAAUGGCUGAAAGAGAUUCACAGGGUAUGUCCACUUUGCCGCGGGGAUGUCUGCAGAUCGGAAUCUUUUGCCGUAGACAAUUGAGGUUAAAGCUUUGAUGAUGUGCUCAUUGCUCUCCCAUGACCCAAGCAUACCUUGUCAAGCGCUUGCAGAAAACGAAACUUUUGGUAGCCGUGAACUGUUGUCUGUUUGAGAAGAUUCAGAUAUUGAAGUUCGGUUUAUCAGUCCCGUAAGAAGAGUGUGUUCCCCUGAUAUUAGCCAGAAGCAAAUGC
This is an RNA transcript of Papaver somniferum (opium poppy), 2511 nucleotides long. RefSeq lists it as uncharacterized. NCBI's taxonomy places the organism in Eukaryota, Viridiplantae, Streptophyta, Magnoliopsida, Ranunculales, Papaveraceae. The record is from RefSeq and is a predicted model, not a curated record. The transcript is spliced from 7 exons.